Molecule: ribosomal RNA, 2921 nt
Filed under: Klebsiella pneumoniae
Lineage: Bacteria; Pseudomonadati; Pseudomonadota; Gammaproteobacteria; Enterobacterales; Enterobacteriaceae
Description: 23S ribosomal RNA
Rfam family: Bacterial large subunit ribosomal RNA
Source: RNAcentral
GGGUUGUGAGGUUAAGCGACUAAGCGUACACGGUGGAUGCCCUGGCAGUCAGAGGCGAUGAAGGACGUGCUAAUCUGCGAAAAGCGUCGGUAAGGUGAUAUGAACCGUUAUAACCGGCGAUGUCCGAAUGGGGAAACCCAGUGCAAUUCGUUGCACUAUCGUUAACUGAAUACAUAGGUUAACGAGGCGAACCGGGGGAACUGAAACAUCUAAGUACCCCGAGGAAAAGAAAUCAACCGAGAUUCCCCCAGUAGCGGCGAGCGAACGGGGAGCAGCCCAGAGUCUGAAUCAGCUUGUGUGUUAGUGGAACGGUCUGGAAAGUCCGACGGUACAGGGUGAUAGUCCCGUACACCAAAAUGCACAGGCUGUGAACUCGAAGAGUAGGGCGGGACACGUGGUAUCCUGUCUGAAUAUGGGGGGACCAUCCUCCAAGGCUAAAUACUCCUGACUGACCGAUAGUGAACCAGUACCGUGAGGGAAAGGCGAAAAGAACCCCGGCGAGGGGAGUGAAAAAGAACCUGAAACCGUGUACGUACAAGCAGUGGGAGCACCUUCGGGUGUGACUGCGUACCUUUUGUAUAAUGGGUCAGCGACUUAUAUUCUGUAGCAAGGUUAACCGUAUAGGGGAGCCGCAGGGAAACCGAGUCUUAACUGGGCGUUAAGUUGCAGGGUAUAGACCCGAAACCCGGUGAUCUAGCCAUGGGCAGGUUGAAGGUUGGGUAACACUAACUGGAGGACCGAACCGACUAAUGUUGAAAAAUUAGCGGAUGACUUGUGGCUGGGGGUGAAAGGCCAAUCAAACCGGGAGAUAGCUGGUUCUCCCCGAAAGCUAUUUAGGUAGCGCCUCGUGAACUCAUCUUCGGGGGUAGAGCACUGUUUCGGCUAGGGGGUCAUCCCGACUUACCAACCCGAUGCAAACUACGAAUACCGAAGAAUGUUAUCACGGGAGACACACGGCGGGUGCUAACGUCCGUCGUGAAGAGGGAAACAACCCAGACCGCCAGCUAAGGUCCCAAAGUCAUGGUUAAGUGGGAAACGAUGUGGGAAGGCACAGACAGCCAGGAUGUUGGCUUAGAAGCAGCCAUCAUUUAAAGAAAGCGUAAUAGCUCACUGGUCGAGUCGGCCUGCGCGGAAGAUGUAACGGGGCUAAACCAUGCACCGAAGCUGCGGCAGCGACACUAUGUGUUGUUGGGUAGGGGAGCGUUCUGUAAGCCUGCGAAGGUGUGCUGUGAGGCAUGCUGGAGGUAUCAGAAGUGCGAAUGCUGACAUAAGUAACGAUAAAGCGGGUGAAAAGCCCGCUCGCCGGAAGACCAAGGGUUCCUGUCCAACGUUAAUCGGGGCAGGGUGAGUCGACCCCUAAGGCGAGGCCGAAAGGCGUAGUCGAUGGGAAACAGGUUAAUAUUCCUGUACUUGGUGUUACUGCGAAGGGGGGACGGAGAAGGCUAUGUUAGCCGGGCGACGGUUGUCCCGGUUUAAGCAUGUAGGCUGAUUGUCGAGCAAAUCCGGAUAAUCAAGGCUGAGGUGUGAUGACGAGGCACUACGGUGCUGAAGUAACAAAUGCCCUGCUUCGGGAAAAGCCUCUAAGCAUCAGGUAACAUUAAAUCGUACCCCAAACCGACACAGGUGGUCAGGUAGAGAAUACCAAGGCGCUUGAGAGAACUCGGGUGAAGGAACUAGGCAAAAUGGUGCCGUAACUUCGGGAGAAGGCACGCUGGUGUGUAGGUGAAGUCCCUGCGGAUGGAGCUGAGACCAGUCGAAGAUACCAGCUGGCUGCAACUGUUUAUUAAAAACACAGCACUGUGCAAACACGAAAGUGGACGUAUACGGUGUGACGCCUGCCCGGUGCCGGAAGGUUAAUUGAUGGGGUUAUCCGUAAGGAGAAGCUCUUGAUCGAAGCCCCGGUAAACGGCGGCCGUAACUAUAACGGUCCUAAGGUAGCGAAAUUCCUUGUCGGGUAAGUUCCGACCUGCACGAAUGGCGUAAUGAUGGCCAGGCUGUCUCCACCCGAGACUCAGUGAAAUUGAACUCGCUGUGAAGAUGCAGUGUACCCGCGGCAAGACGGAAAGACCCCGUGAACCUUUACUAUAGCUUGACACUGAACAUUGAGCCUUGAUGUGUAGGAUAGGUGGGAGGCUUUGAAGCGUGGACGCCAGUCUGCGUGGAGCCAACCUUGAAAUACCACCCUUUAAUGUUUGAUGUUCUAACGUUGGCCCCUGACCGGGGUUGCGGACAGUGUCUGGUGGGUAGUUUGACUGGGGCGGUCUCCUCCCAAAGCGUAACGGAGGAGCACGAAGGUUAGCUAAUCCUGGUCGGACAUCAGGAGGUUAGUGCAAUGGCAUAAGCUAGCUUGACUGCGAGCGUGACGGCGCGAGCAGGUGCGAAAGCAGGUCAUAGUGAUCCGGUGGUUCUGAAUGGAAGGGCCAUCGCUCAACGGAUAAAAGGUACUCCGGGGAUAACAGGCUGAUACCGCCCAAGAGUUCAUAUCGACGGCGGUGUUUGGCACCUCGAUGUCGGCUCAUCACAUCCUGGGGCUGAAGUAGGUCCCAAGGGUAUGGCUGUUCGCCAUUUAAAGUGGUACGCGAGCUGGGUUUAGAACGUCGUGAGACAGUUCGGUCCCUAUCUGCCGUGGGCGCUGGAGAAUUGAGGGGGGCUGCUCCUAGUACGAGAGGACCGGAGUGGACGCAUCACUGGUGUUCGGGUUGUCAUGCCAAUGGCACUGCCCGGUAGCUAAAUGCGGAAGAGAUAAGUGCUGAAAGCAUCUAAGCACGAAACUUGCCCCGAGAUGAGUUCUCCCUGAGACUUUAAGUCUCCUGAAGGAACGUUAAAGACGAUGACGUUGAUAGGCCGGGUGUGUAAGCGCAGCGAUGCGUUGAGCUAACCGGUACUAAUGAACCGUGAGGCUUAACCUUACAACGCCGAAG